AAUCAACGCUGGCGGCGUGCCUAACACAUGCAAGUCGAACGCGAAAGCCCGCAAGGGUAAGUAGAGUGGCGCACGGGUGAGUAACACGUGGACAACCUGCCUUCGAGUGGGGAAUAACCUUCCGAAAGGAGGGCUAAUACCGCAUAACACCUCGGGACACAAGUUCUGGGGUUGAAAAGAGCAAUUUGCUCGAAGAGGGGUCCGCGCCUGAUUAGCUAGUUGGUGAGGUAACGGCUCACCAAGGCUCGAUCAGUAGCCGUCCUGAGAGGGAGCACGGCCACACUGGAACUGAGACACGGUCCAGACUCCUACGGGAGGCAGCAGUGGGGAAUUUUUGGCAAUGGGCGAAAGCCUGACCAAGCAACGCCGCGUGGGUGAUGAAGUAUCUUGGUACGUAAAACCCUUUCGGCAGGGACGAACCUAAUGACGGUACCUGCGGAAGAAGCCCCGGGCUAACUCCGUGCCAGCCGCCGCGGUAAC
Molecule: ribosomal RNA, 480 nt
Filed under: uncultured bacterium
Lineage: Bacteria
Description: bacterial SSU rRNA
Rfam family: Bacterial small subunit ribosomal RNA
Source: RNAcentral